AACAAGGUCUCCGUUGGUGAACCAGCGGAGGGAUCAUUC
This 39-nucleotide ribosomal RNA is filed under the name Fusarium proliferatum. RNAcentral's name for it is "partial small subunit ribosomal RNA". Lineage: Eukaryota; Fungi; Ascomycota; Sordariomycetes; Hypocreales; Nectriaceae. The record is from RNAcentral.